GACAGUAGCAGAGCGAGCCAGAGGCAGGGAGGAGGCAGCGAAGGAGCAGCUCUCCUCCUGAGUCUCCAUCCCAGAGAAGACAGAGAGGAAGAAGACCGGGAGAAGUCGACAGUCCUGCCUCACCGGUGCGUCCCAGCAGCUCCUGAAGUUAAAACCAAGACGUCUGCUGUGAGGUCAAGAGGACAUGAUGUGCCAUGAAGACUGUUAGCUGUGACUGAACCUGAAAACUUGUCAGAAGACUGAACACAGAGGAUCCUUCAGGAGUUGAUGCAGAGACGUGCGACACCGGGAGCCUGAACACAGCCUCACCUGACACAAGGAUGUGUGUGUGUAACACAGAGUGCAGAUACAUACAGGGAAUCACAUAUGACCCCACACACACACUAACAUGAACCCUUGCUCAUCCUACUUCCUUCCGAAAAUCUUUUUCAUCACUAUUUUCUUUGUCAAGCCUCUGCUGAGUGCUUAGUCAUAGUAUCUCCAGGUAGACCAGAACAUAUCAACUGUUAAGUGGAAUCAUUUGCAGAUUAGAUUACUACAUAAACCUGCUAAGUGUAAUAUGUAAAACAAUUAAGUGGUGGAAGAAUUUAAUCUACAAUAAUGCGUCAUAUACUAUGAGAUGAUCAUAUGUUUUGCAUCUAAAAUCUUAAUUUUCAAGUCACUUAAUAGGUAGUGGAAUAAAUGUACAAUGUAUUCCUCAAAUGUAGUGAACUAUAAGUGUAAUGUUGCAUAUAUUGGAAGUAAAGUACCCAGUGGUGGAAGGAGUACUACUGGAUUAUGAGUAGUGAUGCAUUCACAUUGAACAGCUUUUUAAGGUUAAAUUUAACUACUUUAUAUACUGGGUAGUUCAAUCUAUAAUAAUGCAUCAUAACUUAUAAUAUAAGAGUGGUGGAGAAAGUAUCCAUGUCCUUUACGUAAGUAAAAGUAGUAAUACCACUCACUAAAAAGCCCGGCAUUGAAAAUGUUACUCAAGUAAAAGUACGUAUUAUCAGCAAAAUGUACUCAGAAGUAUCAAAAGUAAAAGUACUUAAUGCAGAAAAAUGGCCUCUUUGAGUGUCAUACUAUUAUGUAUUCUUAGAUUAUUAUUACUGAUUCAUUCAUGUGUAUGCAGCAUGUUAAUGUUGCACCUGGUUGAAGUAAAACAAAUUUUAACUACUUUAUAGACUACGGGGUAGAUUAGUCUACAAGAGAGCAUAACGUUAAUCUGGUUGUGUUUACAUGUAAAUAUCACUGGUUUACACUAUUUUGGCAUCAUAAUCUGUUUCUUCAAUUAAUUGUGGUUUCCUUUUCCUACUAAAAUCAAGCGAAUAUACAUAGAAUAGAAAUCACUUAAUUGCAUUGAAUUCUUAUUUGUAGGUUCAUAUUUGAACGGCACCAUAAUAGCUAUUCAAAUUAUGUUUUAUAUGUAUAUCUCUAGUCGAAUACAUACAACAAAAUGGCUUAUUUUAUCAAGAGUAACUGCAACCUUUACACUCGUGAAACUGAGUGCAUGGAAAUCCAUCCUUUUUCAAGUCUAAUUAGCAAGAAUAAAUGUAACCUGUUACCUCACUGCUCAGGCCUGAGGCCUUACAGAGGAUUUGUGAGGAUCCGCAGGUCCGUUCUUCGGUGUGUCAGACCACCACCACCACCUCCUCCACCUCCCCACCUUCAUUGCACCACAGUUGCAAUAUUAAACUUGAAUAAGAUCAUUAGCAUACAAAGCAGGAAACCUACCGCGGUGGAGUCAUACAUAUUUAUCUGGACGUGCCUUACUUGUGCGUGCACACACUCGUACUGUAACCCCUUUAGACACAGGCGUGACUGGCUUUCUGCUGCAGAAGAGCUGUGAACAGACACUAUCAAGUGGAUAUUACUGGGAGCGUGUCUAGUUUUAAGGGAUAAAUAUUUAUUUGUGCAACAUCUGACGAGCUUGCAUUUGAACAUGUGUGGCUGCUUGUAAGACUAAAAAAACGUGUUUAUUUGGAGACAGAGCAGAUGGAGUUUGGUUAGGUUCAUCAGAGCAUCUUGCUUCGAGCAUGUCAAAUAUAGUUUACACACAGAGGAAUUUCAGAAUCUAACAAUGCCUGCAAUACAUAUUUACCUGCUGCAGACAGAAGCACAUUAUCAAACAGAGGGAAAGACAAACAGAGGGCAUGGUCUUGUAAAUAUUUGUAUCACCUGUAGGUUACCUCUGCCUUUUGAAUGACUUUCCUUCCCUUGUUUCCUUCCUCUUCAAAUCCACUUUUUCUCCUCAACCAUGCUAUCCCCGGUUCCCCUGCCCUUUUGGAGAUCACUUUCUACACUUUCCUUCUUUUCCUCAACCUUCCUGGUGAGAGCACGCAACCCCUCCUUUAUUUCUGGCAACGCAGAGUUAAUAUGCCUUCCUCCUUCCUUCUUUUUCCUCCCUCCUGUGAGAUUGCUGUUGUGUCUUAUGGCUUUUUAUUCCUACGUGAUGGUAGAUGGGUUCAUGUAGGAGUAGAAGCCACUAAACACGCGGUGAGUGCUCAACGCGCUGGCCAACACACACAGCGAGCUUCCUGUGGAUAUGACAGCUGCCAUGUUCACAUCAGUGUCCUGCCCAUUAUCAGAAUAUGCACACAGUAAAAAUAGUACAGGGUAAUCACUGCAGAGUGGAUCAUCUUUUUAGACCAGAUUUGUAGUGUAAAAAAUCCUUUUAAAUUACAUUAUUAAAUGGUUAUUAUACUUAAUUCAACAAUUGGUUUUAAGGCAAGGAGCAGAAUGUACUGUAAGUUUGGGCUGACAAAUCAAUCUGAACAAAUCUUAAGUUGUGAACAGACCUACCUUUCCCACCUGCAUGCUGGCUGCACGUGCUCUGAAUUUCAAACGCAUUCCUGCAUUCCUCUGCCCCGGGGUUGUUGUACAAAACUGGAGCUGGGAAGUUCUCAAAAUAGAGAUCAGGAGGAGUGGAUGUCACAAUUGAAAUUAAAAAAACUUGCAGAGGUAGGUCUUGAAUGUUGUUUAAUAAUGUACAGAAUCUGAUGUGACUAUGUAUUCUCCUAUGAAGCAAAGGUGAGAACAUACAGAAACCUGUUACAGGACACAGUAUGUGUUAUAAAGUGACCUGCAGAAGGUUGAAAUAUUGCACAUCACAAAUAUCAGUUUCACAUGCUACUGCUGUCAACCAUAUAUCUCCAACAACUUUUCAUGAGCUUCAGCUUUGUGAUGAUGUAUUUUUCAGAAAAUCCCAUUUAAUUGUCUUGAACCUGCAUUAACUGAUCUGAUUUUUGGCCACUUGGGGGAAGCAGAAAAGCUGUAAAACAGCACUGACAUAAUAUAACCUUAUAAAGUUGGCCAACUUGUUAGCAAACACAUCCAGCAGUUACUUAGCAACAUUAGCAUUCAUUUGAAGUCAUGUUUUUGUCCACUUCAGGAAUGUAUAUUUAAUAUUUACAUGUUAGCUCUGUUUUUGGUCUCCACCAACUCCUGAGGGAAAUAUCUGGCUCUUUAGCUGCUAAAUGCUCCACUUAGUUCACCAGCGAGUCACUAACUGUGUCUGUCUGCGCUUUGGUGCUGGGCAGAUAAGGUACGGAUAAGGCGUUUUGGCUGAAAGCAGUAAAGUUGCAUGCUGGAAAACCAAAACAAUGAGCUGAAUGAAGUUAAAACACUCCAUAGAGCUAUCUUUGGGUUGGUCGCUAUGAGCAACUCCUUUCACAUUACAUGUCAUUUGUUCCAUUGUUAACUAAAGAUAUUGAUUAUAGCAGCUUUAUGAAACAAAGCAAAUGUUCUCAGCCCAUAAAGAAAUACUUAAUCGUUCAGUUUGUCUCAAAAAUCCUAAAUCACCAAACUUGGAGAUACGUGGUGUUCACCAGACAAUGACUAUAUGCUUUUUUGUUUAUUUAUAAAUUCACAUACACUUUAGUCUUUGGUUAUUCAUUUCACAUAUACUCUUUGUAAGGGCUCCCUUAGGACUGAUCAGACAAACACUGUUCCUUUAAAGCUUUUAGCACCAACCUGAAAACUGCAACUCGGCUCAGUGCAAACCCCUUAAUUUAUCGUCCACUCGCAAAUUAGGUCCAGGACAGUUUGGCCAGCUCAAAAUGGCUAAUAAUGGCAAUUUUCUGCCGGAACUGAACUCAGUGUCAACCAAUUAAGCAAGAAACUCAAAUUAUCCUGUUCCUCUUGGGUCCAGUUGGGUGCUGUGGGAGUUUGGGUUUAAAUGUCAACCUUCUGUUUGUAUUUGCUGUGAAAUAUACGCCGCUCGUUCUCUCCUCCCGAGCAGAAUCUGAAUAAAGCCUAAAUGGGUUGUUGUCGGAAACCAAAAACUGAAUUAUUAAUCCCUGGAUAUUACAAGAAUUUGACACAUGCUUGCAAUUGUGUGACAUUACUUCUGCACCAAUAUGAGGUGGAUAAUUAUUCAAGAUGAAAUUGCAAUAGAUAUGGUCUGCAGAGGUUUAAUGAUUUAUUCAAAGCUGUAAGUUGUUAUGAUCUAAUAUUCAGCGGGUGAGAUGGAUUUCUUUUGCUUGCAUUAUCAGUUUAAUUCAUGUUUCCGGUUCUCAAUCGGAACCGGAAACAUGAAGUAGUUUUUUCUUUUUUAUAGAGACAUGAGGAGGUCUGAGGGAACAGUAGAGCAGUGGGGAUACAUUAGAGGAGACUGAGAGAGGAUUCGACCUGGGAGCAGCAGGGGUCGAUUGGAAUCUAAAGGUGGGAAUCAACCAUCAUGGCAUCUAUGGGAAAGAGGCUGCAUUAUUUAAAACAGCACUGGAAAAUUAAGGUGGAGAUGUGUUUAAAUAGAUUGCUGCCAUCCUCUGUUUCGCCUGAGGGUGUGUAUGUGUUUUCCUGCGUUCCUCAGUUAUGAUCUGACUGUAAACCUCAAAUUUCCAAAAUGUUCGGAGAAAUAACACACCAAACCCUAAUUUCCGCUUUGACAGCUGUGCUUUUUUUUUUUCUUAUGCAACGGCUUUUCAAGAGUCCUCGGGUUAUGACACUUGAUCGAGCUGUACAAGGUCUCAUAAUCCUCAAGUUCAGGUAAAAACAUGAAAAUCAUCAGAAUUGGAGUAAUGGGAUUUUCAUCUGACAGCUGCAAUAACGUAGCGUGUUUGUGUACAGUAGGCUUAGUGUUGUGCUACUGUAUCCAUCCCCCCUCAGGCUCCACUUUUUUCCUGUAAUAAAUAAUGCUCUUUUGUGUUCACUGCUUCAUUUGUUCCCUGUUGUAACGUCAGUGCUGCUCAAUAAAUUAUGAAUCACGCCUGUUCAA
Siniperca chuatsi (mandarin fish) is the source of this 5194-nucleotide long non-coding RNA. RefSeq lists it as uncharacterized. Lineage: Eukaryota; Metazoa; Chordata; Actinopteri; Centrarchiformes; Sinipercidae. The transcript has 3 exons. The record is from RefSeq and is a predicted model, not a curated record.